GAUUAACUGCGUGUCAAUAUAGGUAAAAACAUCAAAAUCUGAGCAACAUCCCUGAAGAUAUAGCUGAAAAAAGCUUUUCUACACCUUGUCCUUCUUAAAAGCAAUUCAUUUCCACAUAAGAAAGUAUUAUUAGACUUCACAAUAGUUUUGAAAUAUAAUAUUAAUUUGCAAGGUUAUUAUGGCCAAUAGCUCAAAAUAACUCUUGAAACUUACUAAUGACAUCAUCCUGUUUAUUAUUCCAUGGAGCUAGGUGGCAAAUGGUAGGCAUUUCAUUUUAGUGCUCUUGAUGAAUAAAUGAACAAACAAUUAUAUUUUUUGUUGAGUGUUCUUUAUCU
RNAcentral lists this long non-coding RNA (335 nucleotides) under Homo sapiens (human). RNAcentral's name for it is "HSALNT0231964". The record is from RNAcentral. Lineage: Eukaryota; Metazoa; Chordata; Mammalia; Primates; Hominidae.